Molecule: small RNA, 29 nt
Filed under: Bombyx mori (domestic silkworm)
Lineage: Eukaryota; Metazoa; Arthropoda; Insecta; Lepidoptera; Bombycidae
Description: ovarian small RNA-32226
Source: RNAcentral
UGAGGCUCGCGUUCGAUUCCCCGUACGGG